AAAGAAAAAAACGCCUCUCGAACCUCCAAUUCCUUCAAUGGCUUUCCUCAGACGUUCAACAAAACGUAAUGGUGAGUAUUUUACAAUUCCAAACGCAAUUUACCCUUCCAUUCUUAAUUUAAUUUUCAAUUUGAUUUCAAUUUUCUGAUUGAUUUGUUCAAAUAAAAGGGGAUUCAGAUGAUGGAUUCAUUUGAUUUCAAUUUCUGAUUGAUUUAUUCAAAUAAAAGGGGGAUUCAGAGAGAGAUCAUUUGAUUUCAAUUUUCUAAUUGAUUAUAAAAAUUUCUGAUUGAUUUUAUUCAAAUAAAAGGGGGAUUCAGAUGAUAGAUCAUUUGAUUUCAAUUUUCUAAUUGAUUAUAAAAAUUUCUGAUUGAUUUAUUCAAAUAAAUGGGGGAUUCAUUUGAUUUCAAUUUUCUGAUUGAUUUAUCAUCCUCGGGGCAAAUGGAUUCCGAUGCUACCCCGGAGAAUUCGUCGAUUUCGAUGGCUGAUGAUGAGGUUGACAUGGGUUGUCAUAGGUGAAGAACAUCAGCUGAUGGAGAGGAGAAGUUGAGAAUGAAUGAAUGUCAACUGCACUAGGGAGUCAAGCAAUGAGGGAGCCAAGAGUUGCAGUUCAAACAACACGUGAUAUUGAUAUCAUAGAUGAUGGGUAUAGAUGGAGAAAAUAUGGUCAGAAAGUGGUUAAAGGAAAUCCUAAUCCAAGGAAGGGCGCCCACUCCGCCCAGGUUUGAAACAAGCUGCUGAUUAUAUUAAAGAGAAGCUGGAGUUGCUGAAGAAUCGAGCCAACUCGAACUUUAGAUAUUCAUGGCGAGUUGACUCUGGCUCAAUACCGAACUCGAGCUUCCUCCGUCAUUUCUGGAAUAUUAGGGGUUUUUUAUUUCAAUCAAAUUCGAGGCGAAUAGGUCGGCGAAAUUGAAGCAGUGUAAGCUUGAUGCUCGCCGUGAACAAUGGCUUUUGCAAGAUUAAUGAAGGAAAGAUCUGAAAUUUUGAAAGAAAGGAGGAAGAUGAAGGUGAAAAUUAAAGAAAAACAGUCAUAGUCUGCAUUUGUCUCUUACAUGUGGUUUUUGUAUUGACAUGCCCUCUUUUACACUCAUGGAUGACGAUUUAGAAGAAGGUAUGGUAAAUAACACCCACUGAAAUAUCAUACUUACCUUUCUUUUCUGUUUGGGAGACUGAAUCUGCCUUGAGGUGUGUUCUUGAAUGAAUUCUAGAUAAAGCUGAUGAGGAUGAUUUUGCAAGAUCAUAUUUGGGCAUACAAUCUUUGAUCACAUUCGUAAAAAGGCCAAAGAUUUCCCUGCUGUGAAAAAAUCCAGUGUCAUUCACUCUCCUACGUCAGAAAUGUCAAACACUUCAGAAAGAUAACAUUUGGGCCAUCCUAACAUCAAUGAAGAUGCCACUGUUAAUCAAGACACUAUUGAUGUUUUAGAGUCCACAGGUUUUCGUGGGGAGUUUUAUUGCAGUUGGUUAGAGAGAAGUAAAGAUUGAGAAUCCUUCAAGUUUCACCAUUUUUGUGACUGCCUUUUCCGCCAUUUUUGAAUUCUUAUAUUCUCUCUCCUCUGGUGCAGGACUUGCGGCUGAAUCAUCCUUCAAGUUUCACGGCAAAACAAGUGAUAGGGUAAUGAAAGAAAAAGGUGAAACACUUGGGUAGAGUUUUGUAUUCAGGCUAUUGGUUUUUUUUUUGUAAGCUUCUUUGUUUGGGCCCAAUAUUUAAGCCCAAUGUUUUCCUUUAAUGGGUUUACGUUGGCAUCAUUAUGUUAAGUUUCUAUCACUGCAUAACUACUUUUAUUCAGCUACAUAAUUUAUUCUUAGGUGAUAUAGAUAUUCAUGGGUAGUGUAAUUUAAUGUAAUUCGGUUUUUAUGUCUCUUCUGAGACAUCUAGAAUUAACAGCAAUAUGUUGUGUGAUUUAAUAUAAUUCUAUUUUUAUUUUGAAAUGUUA
This is a long non-coding RNA of Spinacia oleracea (spinach), 1931 nucleotides long. RefSeq lists it as uncharacterized. The record is from RefSeq and is a predicted model, not a curated record. The transcript is spliced from 7 exons. NCBI's taxonomy places the organism in Eukaryota, Viridiplantae, Streptophyta, Magnoliopsida, Caryophyllales, Amaranthaceae.